UACGGAGGGUGCAAGCGUUAUCCGGAUUCACUGGGUUUAAAGGGUGCGUAGGCGGAUUAGAAAGUCCGUUGUGAAAUCUCUGAGCUUAACUCGGAAAUUGCGGUGGAUACUAUUAGUCUUGAAUACUGUGGAGGUUAGCGGAAUAUGUCAUGUAGCGGUGAAAUGCAUAGAUAUGACAUAGAACACCAAUUGCGAAGGCAGCUGGCUACACAGAUAUUGACUGAGGCACGAAAAGCGUGGGGGAUCAAAACAGGAAUUAGAUUACCCC
RNAcentral lists this ribosomal RNA (268 nucleotides) under uncultured bacterium. Its description in RNAcentral is "partial 16S ribosomal RNA". It matches the Rfam family "Bacterial small subunit ribosomal RNA", at positions 524 to 788 of the family's 1533-position model. The record is from RNAcentral.